RNAcentral lists this long non-coding RNA (1294 nucleotides) under Mus pahari (shrew mouse). RNAcentral describes it as "iroquois homeobox 3, opposite strand (MGP_PahariEiJ_G0005169.1)". The record is from RNAcentral. Lineage: Eukaryota; Metazoa; Chordata; Mammalia; Rodentia; Muridae.
GAGGGGAGAUCCGAGACCACGAGUGGCGGCUUAGUACAGGGUCACCUAGCCCCUCAGGUCUUCCAACUCCUCAAUUCUCAGCCCCCUUCGAAGCUGUAGUUCCGGGUUGGGACAGGAUCCUGGACCAAGAAGGGAAAGGAAAACAAAACGCAGCAUCACACACCAUCACCACACAAGAACCUCUGAGAUGCUCUUUCCUUAUUGCAUUAACCAGCUAUCGACCUGGUUGUGUCCAAUUGCGAUUGCGGACUGAGAGAAAGAACACCGGAAGAGCCAGGCUGUUCUCAGGAAGGACUCACGCCGACCAGGGGGGCCGCCCCUGGCCCAGAGGGUGAACCUCUAGACCCAGGCAUGAACCUAAGAACCUCGCUUAAUUAGAUCCCUCCAGGCAUCCCAGGCCUAGGGUAGAAACAGCUAUCGGUUACCCUGUGACCAACUGGGAAGAGCUUUGGUCUGAAAUCCGCACUCCACGCCGGGACCCAGUAUCCCAAGCGACUGGAGUCACUGCAUGGCUCUGAUUCGUCAACAAGACCAGGCCACGCACAAAACGCUCGCCGCGGACACUCUGUGGUCUGGGCUCAGGGCACCAGGAGCAUACAGAAAAGGUGUACGCCGAGGACACGUGGCGCGUUGGAGGACAACUACAAGCGGUGCCCGAUGCCAGAGGCCCACCAGCUUCGGGGUCGGACACUCCGAACCAGCAGCCCCCAUCUUUUCCCCUUCCCUGGUCCAGCUCCCAGAGGUGCCUGUGUCCCCCGUCGUUGGGAGCCUCUGUAGCCUUGUGUCUCCCAGCCCGGACAGAGUUCAGUCCUUUCCUCCCAAGGCUCAGAGUCCCCCAGAGGCGGUGCGGGCUGGCUAUCCUUCAGCUUCCUGCAGAGGCUGCUGAGUACGCUGCCCCCCCCCCCCCCAGCUGGGGUUACAGGUUAAUGAAACGCUCGUUUUCCUCAGUCAUUUGUUUUGUUUUCCUGCAAAGUUCUGAUAAGUAGCUAACCAACGAAGCUUGUAAUUACAAUCUUACAGAAACCGGGCCGAUCUGUAUAUAAAUCUCACCAUCCAAUUACAAGAUGUAAUAAUUUUGCACUCAAGCUGGUAAUGAGGUCUAAUACUCGCGCAUGCGAUAAUCCCCUCUGGAUGCUGGCUUGAUCAGAUGUUGGCUUUGUAAUUAGACGGGCAGAAAAUCAUUAUUUCAUGUUCAAAUAGAAAAUGAGGUUGGUGGGAAGUUAAUUUCUCUCCGCUCUGUGAAGCGUAGACAAGAAUUUAAUGAUUUAAUUACAGUUGUAAGCCCUUUCCAUGA